CCUACGGGUGGCAGCAGUGGGGAAUAUUGCGCAAUGGGCGAAAGCCUGACGCAGCGACGCCGCGUGAGGGAUGAAGGUCUUCGGAUCGUAAACCUCUGUCAGCAGGGAAGAACGGUCACUGUGCUAAUCAGCAGUGAAUUGACGGUACCUGCAAAGGAAGCACCGGCUAACUCCAUGCCAGCAGCCGCGGUAAUACGGAGGAUCCGAGCAUUAUCCGGAGUGACUGGGUGUAAAGAGUUGCGUAGGUGGCAUAAUAAGUAGCUAGUGAAAUCUGGUGGCUCAACCAUUCAGACUAUUAGCUAAACUGUUAAGCUCGAGACCGUUAGGGGUAACUGGAAUUUCUAGUGUAGGAGUGAAAUCCGUAGAUAUUAGAAGGAACACCAAUAGCGUAGGCAGGUUGCUGGGACGGUUCUGACACUAAGGCACGAAAGCGUAGGGAGCAAACGGGAUUAGAUACCCUUGUAGUC
RNAcentral lists this ribosomal RNA (467 nucleotides) under uncultured bacterium. RNAcentral describes it as "partial 16S ribosomal RNA". It matches the Rfam family "Bacterial small subunit ribosomal RNA", at positions 338 to 795 of the family's 1533-position model. The record is from RNAcentral.